Molecule: ribosomal RNA, 1023 nt
Filed under: Salmonella enterica
Lineage: Bacteria; Pseudomonadati; Pseudomonadota; Gammaproteobacteria; Enterobacterales; Enterobacteriaceae
Also listed under: 1 other name
Description: partial 23S ribosomal RNA
Rfam family: Bacterial large subunit ribosomal RNA
Source: RNAcentral
AAUCCAUAGGUUAAUGAGGCGAACCGGGGGAACUGAAACAUCUAAGUACCCCGAGGAAAAGAAAUCAACCGAGAUUCCCCCAGUAGCGGCGAGCGAACGGGGAGGAGCCCAGAGCCUGAAUCAGCAUGUGUGUUAGUGGAAGCGUCUGGAAAGGCGCGCGAUACAGGGUGACAGCCCCGUACACAAAAGCGCAUGUGCUGUGAGCUCGAUGAGUAGGGCGGGACACGUGGUAUCCUGUCUGAAUAUGGGGGGACCAUCCUCCAAGGCUAAAUACUCCUGACUGACCGAUAGUGAACCAGUACCGUGAGGGAAAGGCGAAAAGAACCCCGGCGAGGGGAGUGAAAAAGAACCUGAAACCGUGUACGUACAAGCAGUGGGAGCACCCUUUGGGUGUGACUGCGUACCUUUUGUAUAAUGGGUCAGCGACUUAUAUUCUGUAGCAAGGUUAACCGAAUAGGGGAGCCGGAGGGAAACCGAGUCUUAACCGGGCGUUAAGUUGCAGGGUAUAGACCCGAAACCCGGUGAUCUAGCCAUGGGCAGGUUGAAGGUUGGGUAACACUAACUGGAGGACCGAACCGACUAAUGUUGAAAAAUUAGCGGAUGACCUGUGGCUGGGGGUGAAAGGCCAAUCAAACCGGGAGAUAGCUGGUUCUCCCCGAAAGCUAUUUAGGUAGCGCCUCGUGAAUUCAUCUCCGGGGGUAGAGCACUGUUUCGGCUAGGGGGCCAUCCCGGCUUACCAACCCGAUGCAAACUGCGAAUACCGGAGAAUGUUAUCACGGGAGACACACGGCGGGUGCUAACGUCCGUCGUGAAGAGGGAAACAACCCAGACCGCCAGCUAAGGUCCCAAAGUCAUGGUUAAGUGGGAAACGAUGUGGGAAGGCCCAGACAGCCAGGAUGUUGGCUUAGAAGCAGCCAUCAUUUAAAGAAAGCGUAAUAGCUCACUGGUCGAGUCGGCCUGCGCGGAAGAUGUAACGGGGCUAAACCAUGCACCGAAGCUGCGGCAGCGACACUGUGUGUUGUU